AUCUUUACCUCUCUGUGUUAACUCACAGCUCCUGGGAGGGUGGACAGAAUGAUUCCUGCUUGUCAGGGUCAUUGUGAAGUUGGAAUAAGUCAUUGUAAAAAUGCUUGACUUCAGGAAAUGCUGUUGUAGUGGUGAUGAUGACUCCUCCCAAAGAGUGCCAAGAUGAAAGUUGGUAGGAAGGCCCUUCAGAGGCAUGUAAGUGUGGCUGACCCAGCUCGGGGCCCAGCACAGAUGGUACCUUGUACCAAGUCAGUACCGGACAUGUAUCUGCUAUUCCAGAGUAGUGGCCCAGCCCCUCCCUGCUGAGACCACCUCACCCACACAGGUUUGCCUGGGAGAAGGGUCAGAGGAGGUGUUGGCUGCCCAUGGUACCAAAGCCCAUGUGCACUUCCCAGGGAAGCCCCCUCUGUUUCAUCUGUGUGACUCUGGGCCAGUCACCAGCGUCUCUGAUCCUUGACUUUCUUAGCUCUACCAGGCCAAGCUUUCAUAGACACACACAUGUAGCAAUUGUAUAUGAGGCAUGUGGCAUAAGGCCUAGCGCUUGGUAAGCUGCUCAAGUGGUGGUGGAUGCUCUAUAAUUUUGAUUUGGAUAAGAAUCAUUAUUUUCUACAAGCUGCUGAGUUCAGGCUGGGGUCCACCCAGAGCAGGUCAGUCAACCCCGGCCCCUCCCUAAGGACAGCGUGGCUCACCCCCUGCUCUGGGGAAGAGGGGCCAGAGCCACAUGCCAGGCCCACGGGCCCUGAUGGUGUCAUGAUGAUGUGUCCACUCCUGCCCUUGUGACAGGUUGGUGUGCCAGGGGAAGGGGAGCAGGGUGGUCAAGCCAGCUGAAGCCCCACUGUGUGUCCACAGGCUAUCUGGGAGAAUCAGUUCUAUUACCUCUUUGGCUUCCUGUUCCUUGUUUUCAUCAUCCUGGUGGUAUCCUGUUCACAAAUCAGCAUCGUCAUGGUGUACUUCCAGCUGUGUGCAGAGGAUUACCGCUGGUGGUGGAGAAAUUUCCUAGUCUCCGGGGGCUCUGCAUUCUACGUCCUGGUUUAUGCCAUCUUUUAUUUCGUUAACAAGCUGGACAUCGUGGAGUUCAUCCCCUCUCUCCUCUACUUUGGCUACACGGCCCUCAUGGUCUUGUCCUUCUGGCUGCUAACGGGUACCAUCGGCUUCUAUGCAGCCUACAUGUUUGUUCGCAAGAUCUAUGCUGCCGUGAAGAUAGACUGAUUGGAGUGGACCACGGCCAGGCCCGCUCCGUCCUCGGACAGGAAGCCACCCUGCGUGGGGGACUGCAGGCACGCAAAAUAAAAUAACUCCUGCUCGUUUGGAAUGUAACUCCUGGCACAGUGUUCCUGGAUCCUGGGGCUGCGUGGGGGGCGGGAGGGCCUAUAGAUAAUCUUGCGUUUUUCUUCAUCUUAUUCCAGUUCUGUGGGGGAUGAGUUUUUUUGUGGGUUGCUUUUUCUUCAGUGCUAAGAAAGUUCCCUCCAACAGGAACUCUCUGACCUGUUUAUUCAGGUGUAUUUCUGGUUUGGAUUUUUUUUUCCUUCUUUGUUUUAACAAAUGGAUCCAGGAUGGAUAAAUCCACCGAGAUAAGGGUUUUGGUCACUGUCUCCACCUCAGUUCCUCAGGGCUGUUGGCCACCCUAUGACUAACUGGAAGAGGACACGCCAGAGCUUCAGUGAGGUUUCCGAGCCUCUCCCUGCCCAUCCUCACCACUGAGGCCACGACAAAGCACAGCUCCAGCCCGGACAGCACCCUCAGUGCCAGCCAGCCUCUGCCAGACCUCUCUUUCCCUCUUCUCCCCAGCCUCCUCCAGGGCUGCCCAAGGCAGGGUUUCCAGCCAGGCCUCGGGGUCAUCUUUUCACCAGGAGCAAACCCAAGUCUUAGUUGCUACAAGAAAAUCCCCUGGAAGUACUGGGGGCCAGGUUCCCCAGACAGCAGGAAUUGCCCCUGUUCAGAGCAGCCGGAGUUUGCUGGACCAACAAGGAAGAAGAGAAGAGACUUGCAGUGAACUGUUUUUGUGCCAAGAAACCCUGGACCUGGGGCCAAGUAUUUCCCAAGCCAAGCAUCCACUUGUCUGUGUCUGGGAAGGGAUGGCCAAGGCCGCUAGGGUCCUUACCCCUCAGGAUCACUCCCCGGCCCUUUCCUCAGGAGGUACCGCUCUCCAAGGUGUGCUAGCAGUGGGCCCUGCCCAACUUCAGGCAGAACAGGGAGGCCCAGAGAUUACAGAUCCCCUCCUGUAAGUGGCCAGGCAUUCUCUCCCUGCCCUCUCUGGCCUCCGGGGUCAUACUCACUUCUUUAGCCAGCCCCAUCCCCUCCACCCCACACCUGAGUUCUUGCCUCCUCCUUUUGGGGACACCCAAAACACUGCUUGUGAGAAGGAAGAUGGAAGGUAAGUUCUGUCGUUCUUUCCCCAAUCCCCAGGAAUGGACAAGAAGCCAACUUAGAAGGGUCUCACGUGGCUGGCCUGGCUCCUCCGUAGACCCCUGUUCUUUUCAACCUCUGCCCACCCGUGCAUGUCAUCACAAACAUUUGCUCUUAAGUUACAAGAGACCAGAUCCACCCAGGGAUUAGGGUUCAAGUAGCAGCUGCUAACCCUUGCACCAGCCCUUGUGGGACUCCCAACACAAGACAAAGCUCAGGAUGCUGGUGAUGCUAGGAAGAUGUCCCUCCCCUCACUGCCCCACAUUCUCCCAGUGGCUCUACCAGCCUCAGCCAUCAAACCAGUGAAUUUCUCAAUCUUGCCUCACAGUGACUGCAGCGCCAAGCGGCAUCCACCAAGCAUCAAGUUGGAGAAAAGGGAACCCAAGCAGUAGAGAGCGAUAUUGGAGUCUUUUGUUCAUUCAGAUCUUGGAUUUUUUUUUUUCCCCUAAGAGAUUCUCUUUUUAGGGGGAAUGGGAAACGGACACCUCAUAAAGGGUUCAAAGAUCAUCAAUUUUUCUGACUUUUUAAAUCAUCAUCAUUAUUAUUUUUAAUUAAAAAAAUGCCUGUAUGCCUUUUUUUGGUCGAAUUGUAAAUAAAUAUACCAUUGUCCUACUG
This 3021-nucleotide small RNA is filed under the name Pan troglodytes (chimpanzee). RNAcentral describes it as "retained intron". The record is from RNAcentral. Lineage: Eukaryota; Metazoa; Chordata; Mammalia; Primates; Hominidae.